UACGUAGGGUGCAAGCGUUGUCCGGAAUUAUUGGGCGUAAAGAGCUCGUAGGCGGUUUGUCGCGUCUGCUGUGAAAACCUGGGGCUUAACCCUGGGCCUGCAGUGGGUACGGGCAGACUAGAGUGCGGUAGGGGAGACUGGAAUUCCUGGUGUAGCGGUGAAAUGCGCAGAUAUCAGGAGGCACACCGGUGGCGAAGGCGGGUCUCUGGGCCGUAACUGACGCUGAGGAGCGAAAGCAUGGGGAGCGAACAGG
Molecule: ribosomal RNA, 253 nt
Filed under: uncultured bacterium
Lineage: Bacteria
Description: partial 16S ribosomal RNA
Rfam family: Bacterial small subunit ribosomal RNA
Source: RNAcentral